Molecule: long non-coding RNA, 383 nt
Filed under: Fukomys damarensis (Damara mole-rat)
Lineage: Eukaryota; Metazoa; Chordata; Mammalia; Rodentia; Bathyergidae
Description: lncRNA (ENSFDAG00000022086.1)
Source: RNAcentral
AGAUCAUUUGCCUCGCUUCCUUCCUGAACUUAUCCGCAUUGCAGAACGCAGCCUACUAUGUGAAACAGGUUCUCUCCCAGGAAGGGCCUCUCCCAGGAGAGAGACUCCGCCCUGACUCUAGUUGAGUCUCCUCUCAGGAGAAGGCGUUUGGAUUGUGAUCAGAACUGUGGCAAGAAUUAAGUUUGUGAGCCCAGAUACCACUGUAUACGGAGCACACAAUUUCACCAAUAACAAAUUUCCAUAUAUGUAGAAGAAUCCAAGGAAAGAAAAUCAGUGGUGGUGUGAAGUUGGAGGAGCAAAUGGUGAGUGACUGCUAAUGAGUACACCGUUUGUUCUGCACUGCUGAGAACGUUCCGAAAGUAGGUUGUGGUGAAGGUCUCCUA